This 1062-nucleotide long non-coding RNA is filed under the name Sus scrofa (pig). RNAcentral's name for it is "lncRNA (ENSSSCG00070027238.1)". Lineage: Eukaryota; Metazoa; Chordata; Mammalia; Artiodactyla; Suidae. The record is from RNAcentral.
CCAUCUGUGCCUGGCACAUGAGCCAGCAACUCAGAGGGACGGGACAGGUCGAGGCUGACGGGGGUUGUUCAAAGGCGCCUGCAGCUCCAGCCUCAGAAUCGAGUCCUCCCCAAGCCGCUGAUGCCUGCCUGCAAGAUGCUGUGUCUGGCAGGCACCUCCAGGGCUGGCGGGUGCCGUGCUGGCCAGGCACAGGCAGGGAACCAGAGCAGCCUGAGCCGGGUGGCUGUGUCCCCUGUUCUGGCUCCGGGGUGGCCGUCACAGUCUGGAAUGCGGCUCCUCCUGUGGGCCCACUCAGCCGCCGGGAAGAAAAGCCCCCUGCAGGCCUGGAACCUGCACAGGGUCAAGGGUCACUCCACACCUGGUCAGGGCCCAGGGCACUGGCUCCGGCCUCGGAGCAAACACGUCGGACCCUCCCCCAGAGAACCAGCAUCCCCCCAGGCACGCGGCCCCCGCCCCAGCUCCGUUUGGAAGCGGGCCCAGCCCUGGUGGCAGCAGGAAGACAUCCCGCCUGAACUUCAUCAGGGUCCCCGCUCGGAGGGAGCGUCCUGGGCAGUGACAGCCGGGGCGCGAGAGCCACCGGGUCCCGGCUCCUCACCCUGUGAAGGCAGCUGGCCCCACCUCCUCAGCCACACAGCGCAUGGAUGCUGCCACGCUGGCCAGACUCUGGGGACCCCUCUGGGGCUCUGGGUGCAAUCCCCCUUCCUGCCACCCGGCCGCCCUCCGUGUGGACCUGAGCUUUGGAAGAUCCCCCACCCGGUCUCUGCUCACUCCCUCUUCUGCUUUAUCACUGCCGCCUGGUUAACCAGCUCCUACAACCCGCUCAGGGCCCAGGCAGUGGCUCUGCAACUGAGGGUCCCGGCUUCAAGACCCCACUUCCCUCAGACCCCUCACCCUUGUAACCUUCCAGAUGGCGUCUCAGCACCGGCUGGCUAAAAGCAACCACCCACCAGGUAUUCAAGAACUUCUAGAAUCUGAUGUGACCUUAUAGACCAAACCGGCCUCCCUGCUUGGCAACACUGGCACUGCCCCCGUGAGGCCAGCCCCCACCCCCAAUCAUGCCCA